AACGAACGCUGGCGGCAGGCUUAACACAUGCAAGUCGAACGCCCCGCAAGGGGAGUGGCAGCCGGGUGAGUAACGCGUGGGAACAUACCCUUUUCUACGGAAUAGCUCUGGGAAACUGGAAUUAAUACCGUAUACGCCCUACGGGGGAAAGAUUUAUCGGGGAAGGAUUGGCCCGCGUUGGAUUAGCUAGUUGGUGGGGUAAAGGCCUACCAAGGCGACGAUCCAUAGCUGGUCUGAGAGGAUGAUCAGCCACAUUGGGGCUGAGACACGGCCCAAACUCCUACGGGAGGCAGCAGUGGGGAAUAUUGGACAAUGGGCGCAAGCCUGAUCCAGCCAUGCCGGGUGAGUGAUGAAGGCCUUAGGGUUGUAAAGCUCUUUCACCGAUGAAGAUAAUGACGGUAGUCGGAGAAGAAGCCCCGGCUAACUUCGUG
Molecule: ribosomal RNA, 431 nt
Filed under: uncultured bacterium
Lineage: Bacteria
Description: partial 16S ribosomal RNA
Rfam family: Bacterial small subunit ribosomal RNA
Source: RNAcentral